GAUGAACGCUGGCGGCGUGCCUAAUACAUGCAAGUCGAGCGAACAGACGAGGAGCUUGCUCCUCUGACGUUAGCGGCGGACGGGUGAGUAACACGUGGAUAACCUACCUAUAAGACUGGGAUAACUUCGGGAAACCGGAGCUAAUACCGGAUAAUACAUUGAACCGCAUGGUUCAAUAGUGAAAGACGGUUUUGCUGUCACUUAUAGAUGGAUCCGCGCCGCAUUAGCUAGUUGGUAAGGUAACGGCUUACCAAGGCAACGAUGCGUAGCCGACCUGAGAGGGUGAUCGGCCACACUGGAACUGAGAAACGGUCCAGACUCCUACGGGAGGCAGCAGUAGGGAAUCUUCCGCAAUGGGCGAAAGCCUGACGGAGCAACGCCGCGUGAGUGAUGAAGGUCUUCGGAUCGUAAAACUCUGUUAUUAGGGAAGAACAAAUGUGUAAGUAACUAUGCACGUCUUGACGGUACCUAAUCAGAAAGCCACGGCUAACUACGUG
RNAcentral lists this ribosomal RNA (497 nucleotides) under uncultured bacterium. RNAcentral describes it as "partial 16S ribosomal RNA". It matches the Rfam family "Bacterial small subunit ribosomal RNA", at positions 28 to 507 of the family's 1533-position model. The record is from RNAcentral.